ACAUGCAAGUCGAACGGCAGCACGGGGGCAACCCUGGUGGCGAGUGGCGAACGGGUGAGUAAUACAUCGGAACGUGCCCAUGUCGUGGGGGAUAACGUAGCGAAAGCUACGCUAAUACCGCAUACGAUCUACGGAUGAAAGCGGGGGAUCGCAAGACCUCGCGCGAUUGGAGCGGCCGAUGGCAGAUUAGGUAGUUGGUGGGGUAAAGGCUCACCAAGCCGACGAUCUGUAGCUGGUCUGAGAGGACGACCAGCCACACUGGGACUGAGACACGGCCCAGACUCCCACGGGAGGCAGCAGUGGGGAAUUUUGGACAAUGGGCGCAAGCCUGAUCCAGCCAUUCCGCGUGCAGGAUGAAGGCCCUCGGGUUGUAAACUGCUUUUGUACGGAACGAAACGGCCUUUUCUAAUACAGAGGGCUAAUGACGGUACCGUAAGAAUAAGCACCGGCUAACUACGUGCCAGCAGCCGCGGUAAUACGUAGGGUGCAAGCGUUAAUCGGAAUUACUGGGCGUAAAGCGUGCGCAGGCGGUUAUGUAAGACAGUUGUGAAAUCCCCGGGCUCAACCAGGGAACUGCCUCUGUGACUGCCUAGCUAGAGUAGGGUAGAGGGGGAUGGAAUUGCGCGUGGAGCCGUGAAAU
Molecule: ribosomal RNA, 640 nt
Filed under: uncultured bacterium
Lineage: Bacteria
Description: bacterial SSU rRNA
Rfam family: Bacterial small subunit ribosomal RNA
Source: RNAcentral